GUAGAUAUAGCUCAACUGGUAGAGCGCUAAAUUGUGGCUUUAGAGGUUAUAGGUUCGACUCCUAUUAUUUACCC
RNAcentral lists this transfer RNA (74 nucleotides) under Pseudocohnilembus persalinus. Its description in RNAcentral is "tRNA-His". It matches the Rfam family "tRNA". From Rfam's summary of the family: Transfer RNA (tRNA) molecules are approximately 80 nucleotides in length. Their secondary structure includes four short double-helical elements and three loops (D, anti-codon, and T loops). The record is from RNAcentral. Lineage: Eukaryota; Ciliophora; Oligohymenophorea; Philasterida; Pseudocohnilembidae.